Molecule: long non-coding RNA, 605 nt
Organism: Eubalaena glacialis (North Atlantic right whale)
Lineage: Eukaryota; Metazoa; Chordata; Mammalia; Artiodactyla; Balaenidae
Exons: 3
Source: RefSeq, a predicted model, not a curated record
AUUUUGCUUGGUUGAACAUGCAGAUGAGGAAUCCGCGGAUAACAAGAGCCCAUCGAUGAAGAAAAAAAGGAGGAUAUGCAUUACUAAGAAUCAAAGGAAGUGCCUGACUCUAUAACAAAGAGAAAAGCUUCAAAAUGAUUGUACAACACGAAGACAGAAAUAACCAUGUUAAGAGGUCAUUGGUCCGACUUCUCCAGAAACUUCCCCUGGGCAGCGGUCUCUACCUCUGUUACAGAAGACUGCAAAAAUACCGGCCAUUGUGCAUCUGGCCAAUUAUGCAAUGUUCUAUCACAAGGGGAAAUUCCUUCCUCACUCCAGCUGGUGAGCAGUUAUGCCCUGGAGCCCAGGACGGACAUGCCUUGUAACUUUUUAACCUAGUUAGUGUAACUGCCAAUAUUAUUCCUAUUCAUAUAAAUGUCUAAUCCUUUCUUGAAUCUUGCUAGACUAUUUGCCUCAAUAAUAUCCUGCGGCAGUGAAUUCCACAGGUAGAUUAUAUGCUGUUUUAAAAAGUAUUUCCUUUUAUUCAUUUUAAAUUUGUUACCUUUUAAUGUCACAAGAUGGCCCUUGUUCUUGCAUUAAGUGGUACAGGGUACAGGCAUUUCAAA